This 387-nucleotide ribosomal RNA is filed under the name Staphylococcus sp. Its description in RNAcentral is "bacterial SSU rRNA". It matches the Rfam family "Bacterial small subunit ribosomal RNA", at positions 1011 to 1398 of the family's 1533-position model. Lineage: Bacteria; Bacillati; Bacillota; Bacilli; Caryophanales; Staphylococcaceae. The record is from RNAcentral.
UUUUUCCCUUCGGGGGACAAAGUGACAGGUGGUGCAUGGUUGUCGUCAGCUCGUGUCGUGAGAUGUUGGGUUAAGUCCCGCAACGAGCGCAACCCUUAAGCUUAGUUGCCAUCAUUAAGUUGGGCACUCUAAGUUGACUGCCGGUGACAAACCGGAGGAAGGUGGGGAUGACGUCAAAUCAUCAUGCCCCUUAUGAUUUGGGCUACACACGUGCUACAAUGGACAAUACAAAGGGCAGCUAAACCGCGAGGUCAAGCAAAUCCCAUAAAGUUGUUCUCAGUUCGGAUUGUAGUCUGCAACUCGACUACAUGAAGCUGGAAUCGCUAGUAAUCGUAGAUCAGCAUGCUACGGUGAAUACGUUCCCGGGUCUUGUACACACCGCCCGUC